Molecule: ribosomal RNA, 608 nt
Filed under: Roseibacillus ponti
Lineage: Bacteria; Pseudomonadati; Verrucomicrobiota; Verrucomicrobiia; Verrucomicrobiales; Verrucomicrobiaceae
Description: bacterial SSU rRNA
Rfam family: Bacterial small subunit ribosomal RNA
Source: RNAcentral
AACGGGAAAUUUUUGGAGCUUGCUUUGAAAAUUUCUAGUGGCGAACGGGUGAGUAACACGUGAGCAACCUGCCCAAAAGAGGGGGAUAGCCCGGGGAAACUCGGAUUAAUACCGCGUGUCAUCUCUCAGGACAUCCUGGGAAGAUGAAAGGUGGCCUUUGUGCUGCCGCUUUUGGAUGGGCUCGCGGCCUAUCAGCUUGUUGGUGAGGUAAAAGCUCACCAAGGCUACGACGGGUAACUGGUCUGAGAGGAUGAUCAGUCACACUGGAACUGAGACACGGUCCAGACACCUACGGGUGGCAGCAGUCGAGAAUCAUUCGCAAUGGGCGAAAGCCUGACGGUGCGACGCCGCGUGGAGGAUGACGGCCCUCGGGUUGUAAACUCCUGUCAUCAGAGAGUAAUGCUUCAUAAAGUAACUGUUAUGAAGAGUGAUAGUAUCUGAAGAGGAAGGGACGGCUAACUUCGUGCCAGCAGCCGCGGUAAUACGAAGGUCCCAAGCGUUGUUCGGAUUUACUGGGCGUAAAGCGUCUGUAGGCGGUAUGGUAAGUCAGAUGUGAAAGCCCGGGGCUCAACCUCGGAACUGCAUCCGAUACUGCCAUACUAGAGGAU